AACUCAUGUGUCCAAGCCUGCA
This 22-nucleotide non-coding RNA is filed under the name Arabidopsis thaliana (thale cress). Lineage: Eukaryota; Viridiplantae; Streptophyta; Magnoliopsida; Brassicales; Brassicaceae. The record is from RNAcentral.